AGGGUUUGAUCCUGGCUCAGGAUGAACGCUAGCUACAGGCCUAACACAUGCAAGUCGAGGGGCAGCAUUGCUGAAGCUUGCUUCAGCAGAUGGCGACCGGCGCACGGGUGAGUAACGCGUAUCCAACCUGCCCUUUACUUGGGGAUAGCCUUUCGAAAGAAAGAUUAAUACCCGAUGGUUUCAGUAUUCCGCAUGGGAAACUGAAUAAAGAUUUAUUGGUAGAGGAUGGGGAUGCGUUCCAUUAGAUAGUAGGCGGGGUAACGGCCCACCUAGUCGACGAUGGAUAGGGGUUCUGAGAGGAAGGUCCCCCACAUUGGAACUGAGACACGGUCCAA
Molecule: ribosomal RNA, 335 nt
Filed under: uncultured bacterium
Lineage: Bacteria
Description: bacterial SSU rRNA
Rfam family: Bacterial small subunit ribosomal RNA
Source: RNAcentral